Molecule: long non-coding RNA, 711 nt
Organism: Leopardus geoffroyi (Geoffroy's cat)
Lineage: Eukaryota; Metazoa; Chordata; Mammalia; Carnivora; Felidae
Exons: 2
Source: RefSeq, a predicted model, not a curated record
AUCCCCUCUCCUCCUCACCAUUUUCUACACUUAAGCCUCUUUCUUUUGGUAUUUAUCUCCAGGUCUCCAAAUUAACAAGCUUGAAAUGCUGUUCCUUGCUCUUUCAAUGUUAGCCAUUAUCUGAUUUCUGUCCAGGAUAGAAGAUAAGGUGUCUUUCCUUCCACUGCCCCCACCAUACAUGUUCAUCCUUCCCCAUCCUCCAUUCUUCCUGUUCCACAAUGUUGUCAUCUCAGUCAAUGUUUGUGUUACAGUGGGUAUAAAACAUCACUCAUAGCUGAACCACAGCAAAUCGUGAUAACUUCCUUUCCUGCACACCUUUUUGUUGUCCUUGGAGCUAACAACUCUGUUACUUUCUGUUUGCUUCAUCUUCUACACAUUUAAAUUUGCUAUCUGUCAGUGUCUGCUCUCAAGACAUUCAGAAUCUUUGGGUACUCUAACAAUUUCAUCAAUCUCCCCCAAAAUCUCUCCCAAAGCCUUCUAAUGCACUGCAUCCUGGACCUGAGGCACAUCUCUCAUCUUGGAAUCUCGCUUCGUGGUCAUCCCAGGGUAGUUCCCUUCUGGAUGAGGCCUGGAACUAGGGCAGCCACCUGUCAAGCAACAGAGCAUGGAGCCAGCAAAGGACAGAGGGCCAUACAGAUAGCCAGAGCCAAAGCACUCCACCCUAUUUCUGGUUUUCCUGUGCUGUAAACCAAUAAAUUUAUUAUUCAAACA